This 356-nucleotide long non-coding RNA is filed under the name Phaseolus vulgaris (common bean). Its description in RNAcentral is "long non-coding RNA (PVUL_LNC002414)". The record is from RNAcentral. Lineage: Eukaryota; Viridiplantae; Streptophyta; Magnoliopsida; Fabales; Fabaceae.
CUCACAGGUAUCCGGAGAAGCACGCGUGCGGGUUCGACUUUAAGACGGUGGGGCGAGAGGAGAUUGCUCGGGCUAACCCCGUGAUCAAAGCAGAGAAGCUGCGGAGGAUAUGAUUCGAUCUCAUCCGUCCGAUGGGACCGGAGUUUGAUGAUUUGAUAACAAGCGUCCACGUGUACUGCGAGGGAGGGAGAGAGAGAUGUCGUUAUGUAUGAUGUUAUGAAUAUGAUGAUGAUGAUGAUGAUGAUCUGUCUUCAAUGUUAAGAUAAAACUUAAAUAGUCGGUUUGUCUCGUAUAGAAGGGAUUGAAAUGAAUAAGUCAUAUUUUUAUUUGGCUUUGUAAAAUGGGAGAAAAAAGAA